This is a long non-coding RNA of Pogona vitticeps (central bearded dragon), 1567 nucleotides long. The record is from Ensembl. NCBI's taxonomy places the organism in Eukaryota, Metazoa, Chordata, Lepidosauria, Squamata, Agamidae.
CUGGAUACUAUCAAGCAAUCCAGUCGCCUCCCAGAAACGAAGUUGAAAGACCUAAGAGUUAGAUUGUACAACAUGCUAAGACAGAAAAAAUUACCUUAAAACAAUUUCAGGAGUUGGUGGGGCACCUGAAAUUUGCUUGCAAAGUGGUGGCGCCAGGCAGCCCCUUUUUGCAGCAUUUUUGCAAUGCCAUGAAGGGCCUCACAAAGCAGCAUCACAGGAGAAGACUUACAAUAGGGAUCAAGGAGGACAUUAGAGUAUAGAUACGCUUCCUUGAGGAAUUCAAUGGAUUUUCAUUCUGGAGGGAGGACAGAAGGCUGGGCUUAGAAUUACAGGUGGAAACUGAUGCAGCCGGAUCAAUGGGUUAUGGCAUAUAUUACAGCGGGAAAUGGUGUGCAGAAAAGUGGCCAGAUGAAUGGCUAACUUCCAGAGUUACAAUGGACCUCAUGUUUUUGAGCUUUUUCCAACAGUUUGGACGUUAUGGCUGUGGGCAGAUGAGUGGGCUAUCAGAUAGGUUUAGCUGUUAAAUGAAUUAGUUGUUUGUUAGAAUAAAUAUGUCUGUUAAGUUAAAGGAUAAUAUGCUAACGUAACUAAGUCAAGUACAUGUUUAUAUAUAAAGCACCAAAUGUCAAAGCACUGUGAGUUUAUUCUAUUCUGCAUGUUUUAAACAGUAAAAAUUAUUUAAUGUUUUUAAAGAAGACCAAGUUAUCAUUUUAUUUACUUUCAGCUGCUGGCACACAUAUACACACAUGGGAGAAUUUUUACUCUGAGUAUUUUUUUAUUAUAACUCCUGAAACCUCUGUGUGCAAUCUGUCAGUUACAUUUAAUAUAUAUUUUUAUAACCAAACCAACAGACUGAAAGACAACAAGGGCUGCAGAAGGACCAAAUUGACUGAAACAGCCAGUGAGUUUUGCCUCUCGCCAUUGAUGUGCACUGCAUAUGUAUGUGUGAAGCAGCCCUCCUGUUCUCUUUACCUGCAAAUAUAUCUCAUAACUGGAGUAUACAGCCAAAUCUCAGUUCUUCCAGAAAGCUGAAUAUAGCAGGUCCUUUUCUUCUGAAGCUACCGAUGUGACAAACUGCCGUGGUUAUACAUGCUUAAGUUGUAUACCCUUGACAGAAGAACAGUAUAUUCCUUCUAUCUGGGAUGGCCAUCCUCUUCACCAAGUGUGCAGCUGUAGGAGUGAUGCCUCUGGAGCAGUGAAGGAGAAAGGGGACAUCUGCCUAAACAGCCAGAUCAGCUGAAUCAACCCUGGUGCUCGGUGGGUGGCAGCCACCAUAGCCAGAUUGCUCUCACAUAGAAUGAAAAGAACAUUUAAGUUUGCUGACCAAAUAUAGUGCCCUAGGCAGUGAGAUAUCUGUGCCCUCUAUAUUUUUUGCCUAAUUCACCUUUUCCCAAAUUCAGGAAAGCUCCUGGAGGUGAGAGAUCAUGGAGUAUCCUAUCAGGACGGUUUAUGUCCUUGAAUAGUGGAGCUCCUGGCUCCUUUUCUGUUUUCUUUCCAUCUGCAAAGUCAUUUUUUAUUCUGCUCAAGAAGAGAGGGUGCUACGUUUUGUGGCGGCACACUUUCAAUU